RNAcentral lists this long non-coding RNA (696 nucleotides) under Nicotiana benthamiana. RNAcentral describes it as "long non-coding RNA (NBEN_LNC030677)". The record is from RNAcentral. Lineage: Eukaryota; Viridiplantae; Streptophyta; Magnoliopsida; Solanales; Solanaceae.
ACUUUACAAUUAAAUCCCAAUAUUCUUUAUUACACUCUGGAUAAAUCAUGUCAACUAUAUAAUUCCUCCUAUUUACAAUAAUUUUUCUACCCAUUCCCUUCGAUUCUGUCUUAAUGAUAUUCUACCAAGUGUGUCAUGUAUCUUUCAUUUGUAUUCCUCCUUAAUAGUUUUGAAAAUCAUGUCAGAUCUUGGGACUCUUUGAUACGAAUGAGCACCACUAUUUACUCUCUAGAGUGGUACUCUAGUGCUACCUGUAUCGAAAUUGUUAGCUGCCUACAUACUUUGCCUCAUGUUCUUUUAGUCAAACAUCUUCAGAUGCCAUUCUAUUCCCAGUGUUGCAUCCCCAUGUUUUUCAAUUGCAGUACUUCCUGUGUACAUGCUUUUGAGAAUGGUAAUUCAAAGUAUAGAUGGUAAGUUGUUUUAGUGGCUUCCCCACAUAUGGAACAGGAGGUUUCUUGAUAGAUUCCUAAUCGUUCUUGAUAGAUUCCUGAUCGAUCCAGUCUCUCUUUAGUUAACUAACUUUUGUGCAUAGCUAACCAACAGAAAAAGCUUUGCUUUGGGAUGAUGUUGUAUAUACUCAAAACCUAUCUCAUACUAGCCCAAUCGUCUCUACUUCCUUGUCUCCAUUUAUAGCAGUUGCCUGUUGUGUAUUGUCCAUUCACUGAUAGCCAUCCCUCCUGGACAUAUCUAGUCAUA